This 1288-nucleotide ribosomal RNA is filed under the name Gonocephalum kochi. RNAcentral's name for it is "16S ribosomal RNA". The stretch from base 585 to 1288 matches the Rfam family "Archaeal large subunit ribosomal RNA", at positions 1423 to 2806 of the family's 2987-position model. The record is from RNAcentral. Lineage: Eukaryota; Metazoa; Arthropoda; Insecta; Coleoptera; Tenebrionidae.
UUUUUAUAAUAUUAUUGUUUGUUUUUGUUAUUUUGUUUAAUUUUUAGAAAAAUGUUAUUUUUUAUUAUUCUUGUUUGAAAAAAUUUGUUUUAUUAUAGUAUAAAGUAUUGAGAAAGAAAUUUUUUAAGGUUUGAUAAGAAAACUUUACUUGUUGUACCUUGUGUAUCAGGGUUGAUUAAAUUAAGAAUUAGUUUUAAUUUUUCCCGAAUUUAAAAGAGCUAUAAUAUUAUAUAUUUUGUUGUGGAAUAAGUAUUUUGAAUUUUAUUAUGGUAAUGAAACGUUAUUCGUUUUUGAAUAUAUCUGGUUUCUUAAGAAAUGAAUUUAAUUUAGUUAUUAAAUAUGAUUUUUUUGAAUUUUUAAUUUGAUUUUUUUAAUAGUUAAUACUUGAGGGGAUAAGCUUUUGAGUAAAUUGUUAUAAGUUUAUGUUUUUUGAUUGAUUUGUAGGAUUGGAAUUUUUCAUCAAUAAAAGGAUGUUUUAAUUUAUCUUUUUUUAAUUUAAUUUAUAUUAACUUUAACUUUUUUAUUAGGAUUUUUUCUUUAAUUGUUUUUGUUUAGGAAUUAUGAUUGAAUUAGUAUAAUUUUAUUGUAUAUAUAAAUAUAAUCUUUAAGGUUGUUUUAAGGAAUUCGGCAAAUUUGAAUUUUCACCUGUUUAUUAAAAACAUGUCCUUUUGAUUUAUAAUUUAAGGUCAGACCUGCCCAAUGAUUAUUUAAAUGGCCGCAGUAUAUUGACUGUGCAAAGGUAGCAUAAUCAUUAGUUUCUUAAUUAGAAGCUGGAAUGAAUGGUUCGAUGAAAAAUUAACUGUCUCAAGACUAAUGUGUUAGAAUUUUAUUUUUGAGUAAGAAAGCUUAAAUUUUUUAAAAAGACGAGAAGACCCUAUAGAGUUUGAUGUUUAAUUAAUAAGAUUUUUAAUGUUUUUUAUAAUAUCUUAUUUUGUAAAGCAUUUUGUUGGGGUGACAUAAAAAUUUGAAAAACUUUUUAUUAUUUAUACAUUAAUUAAUGAUUUUUUGAUCCUAUUUUUUAGAUUAUAAGAUAAAAUUACCUUAGGGAUAACAGCGUAAUUUUUUCUGAAAGUUCUUAUUGAUGAAGAAGUUUGCGACCUCGAUGUUGGAUUAAAAUUUAUUUUUGGUGUAGCAGCUGAAAUAUUAGGUCUGUUCGACCUUUGAAAUUUUACAUGAUCUGAGUUUAAACCGGUGUGAGCCAGGUUGGCUUCUAUCUUUUAUUAGUUAAAAUAUUUUAGUACGAAAGGACCAAGUAUUUGAAUUAUAUUUUGUUAUUUUGAUUAUUAUU